Molecule: long non-coding RNA, 205 nt
Filed under: Lathyrus oleraceus (garden pea)
Lineage: Eukaryota; Viridiplantae; Streptophyta; Magnoliopsida; Fabales; Fabaceae
Description: Pisum sativum (pea) long non-coding RNA (PSAT_LNC034788)
Source: RNAcentral
UUAAUGUUGUCACAACAAGAAGUCAGAAAGUUGUUAAAGAUGAAGAAAAGAAGGCAACAAAUCAUGACCAUGUCAUAGAGGAAAAUCUAGAAGUGAGGGAGAAAAAAAAGAACCAGAAGAAGUUAUACCACUAGUAAAGCCAACGGAAGAGAAAAAUAAAAAAGAGGCUAAACCAGUGAUUAAGUUACCUUACCCUCAGAGAGUG